AGGAUCAUUCGCAAUGGACGAAAGUCUGACGAUGCGACGCUGCGUGGAGGAUGAAGGCCUUCGGGUUGUAAACUCCUGUCAUGAGGGAAAAGGAGAGGGUACCCAAUACGUACUUGAUUUGAUGGUACCUCAAGAGGAAGGGGCGGCUAACUCUGUGCCAGCAGCCGCGGUAAUACAGAGGCCCCUAGCGUUGUUCGGAUUUACUGGGCGUAAAGGGUGCGUAGGCGGUCAGGCGUGUCGAGUGUGAAAUCUCCGGGCUCAACCCGGAAAGUGCGCUCGAAACUACCUUAGACUAGAGUAUGGGAGAGGGGAUCGGAAUGCAGGGUGUAGCGGUGAAAUGCGUUGAUAUCCUGCAGAACACCGGAGGCGAAGGCGGAUCCCUGGAACAUUACUGACGCUCAGGCACGAAAGUCGGGGGAGCAAACA
RNAcentral lists this ribosomal RNA (426 nucleotides) under uncultured bacterium. RNAcentral's name for it is "bacterial SSU rRNA". It matches the Rfam family "Bacterial small subunit ribosomal RNA", at positions 358 to 774 of the family's 1533-position model. The record is from RNAcentral.